RNAcentral lists this ribosomal RNA (435 nucleotides) under uncultured bacterium. Its description in RNAcentral is "partial 16S ribosomal RNA". It matches the Rfam family "Bacterial small subunit ribosomal RNA", at positions 28 to 507 of the family's 1533-position model. The record is from RNAcentral.
GAUGAACGCUGGCGGUAUGCUUAACACAUGCAAGUCGAACGGACUCUUCGGAGUUAGUGGCGGACGGGUGAGUAACGCGUGAGAAUCUGGCUUUGGGUUCGGGACAACCACUGGAAACGGUGGCUAAUACCGGAUGUGCCGAGAGGUAAAAGAGAAAUUGCCUGAAGAUGAGCUCGCGUCUGAUUAGCUAGUUGGUGAGGUAAAGGCUCACCAAGGCAGCGAUCAGUAGCGGGUCUGAGAGGAAGACCAGCCACACUGGGACAGAGACACGGCCCAGACUCCUACGGGAGGGAGCAGUGGGGAAUUGUCCGCAAGGGGCGAAAGCCUGACGGAGCAAUACCGCGUGAGGGAAGAAGGCUCUUGGGUUGUAAACCUCUUUUCUUAGGGAAGAACAAAAUGACGGUACCUAAGGAAUCAGCAUCGGCUAACUCCGUG